GACGAACGCUGGCGGCGUGCUUAACACAUGUAAGUCGAACGGAAAGGCCCUGCUUUUGUGGGGUGCUCGAGUGGCGAACGGGUGAGUAACACGUGAGUAACCUGCCCUUGACUUUGGGAUAACUUCAGGAAACUGGGGCUAAUACCGGAUAGGAGCUCCUGCUGCAUGGUGGGGGUUGGAAAGUUUCGGCGGUUGGGGAUGGACUCGCGGCUUAUCAGCUUGUUGGUGGGGUAGUGGCUUACCAAGGCUUUGACGGGUAGCCGGCCUGAGAGGGUGACCGGCCACAUUGGGACUGAGAUACGGACCAGACGGCUACGGGAGGCAGCAGUGGGGAAUAUUGCACAAUGGGCGGACGCCUGAUGCAGCAACGCCGCGUGCGGGAUGACGGCCUUCGGGUUGUAAACCGCUUUCGCCUGUGACGAAGCGUGAGUGACGGUAAUGGGUAAAGAAGCACCGGCUAACUACGUG
RNAcentral lists this ribosomal RNA (468 nucleotides) under uncultured bacterium. RNAcentral's name for it is "partial 16S ribosomal RNA". It matches the Rfam family "Bacterial small subunit ribosomal RNA", at positions 28 to 507 of the family's 1533-position model. The record is from RNAcentral.